RNAcentral lists this ribosomal RNA (372 nucleotides) under uncultured soil bacterium. RNAcentral's name for it is "bacterial SSU rRNA". It matches the Rfam family "Bacterial small subunit ribosomal RNA", at positions 26 to 384 of the family's 1533-position model. The record is from RNAcentral.
AGAUUGAACGCUGGCGGCAGGCCUAACACAUGCAAGUCGAGCGGUAGAGAGGUGCUUGCAUCUCUUGGGAGCGGCGGACGGGUGAGUAAUGCCUAGGAAUCUGCCUAGUGGUGGGGGAUAACGUUCGGAAACGGACGCUAAUACCGCAUACGUCCUACGGGAGAAAGGCGGGGGACCUUCGGGCCUCGCGCCAUUAGAUGAGCCUAGGUCGGAUUAGCUAGUUGGUGAGGUAAUGGCUCACCAAGGCGACGAUCCGGUAACUGGUACUGAGAGGAUGAUCAGUCACACGUAGGAACUGGACGACACGGUCCAGACCUCCGUACGGGAGCGAGCGAGUAGGGGAAUAGUUAGGACGAAGUUGGGCGAAAGCCG